GGCGCUGUCUACGAGUCGGGU
This 21-nucleotide small nuclear RNA is filed under the name Arabidopsis thaliana (thale cress). Its description in RNAcentral is "snRNA_14007". The record is from RNAcentral. Lineage: Eukaryota; Viridiplantae; Streptophyta; Magnoliopsida; Brassicales; Brassicaceae.